AUAUGGGGAGGAUAGGGGGGUGGCGAAUGGUAAACAAAAAAAUUCUUACUACAUUGUAUUAUUUAAUUUUUAAUAUUACAUUAUUUUAAUAAAUAAAAAAUGGCAAAAGUCAUAACAAAGAAGACUUCAAAAAGCCAAUUUGCACAGACAACAGCUGGUAAGUUAUUAUAGCAUAACUUUAAUUAACCAUUAAAGAAAUAUAAAUAAAUAUGUAUUUUUUACUUAUUUAUUUAUUACUUGUCGUGUAUGGAUUUCCCAUUUGCUGCAAUAUUAAUUUUUUAAUUUUAGUAUCUACCUCAUGUACUACACCUGGUAAGUUACAUAACUCUUAAUUUUUAAUUUGCAAACUUUACAAUAUGUUUAACUUUAGUUCCUUAGUCAGCUGCUGCAACUAGUAAUUUAAAAAAAUAAUAAAUUUAAUAUGUGUAUGCAUUUCUCGUUAUUUGCAAUAUUGAUUUUUUGUUACAACUUUGUAAUUUUAGUAUCUACCUCUUGUGCUACACCAGGUAAGGCUUACCUUCACAUGGUGUCUAUUGUUAAAAAUGAUUUAUUUAGUUGCAUUGGAACUUAAUUUAAAUCAUUUACUAAAAGCCAAGACAUAAAUUAAUUACUAUGUUUCGAAACAUUUGUUGCUUUUUUGUUUGUUUUUUAUAAGGUUGGUUGGUUAAAUAUAAUCAUUUAAAUGAGAAAAUGUAUACUCGUACAACUGAAUACAUGUAAACUCGAGAAAAUGAAUACUCGUGCAAUCUGGUAAAACAAUUCUGUAUUGUGCUUUCUCUUUUUAAUAAUUGCAUGCGAAAAUGUUGAAAAUAUCA
Molecule: long non-coding RNA, 815 nt
Organism: Hydra vulgaris (swiftwater hydra)
Lineage: Eukaryota; Metazoa; Cnidaria; Hydrozoa; Anthoathecata; Hydridae
Source: RefSeq, a predicted model, not a curated record